Molecule: ribosomal RNA, 448 nt
Filed under: uncultured bacterium
Lineage: Bacteria
Description: partial 16S ribosomal RNA
Rfam family: Bacterial small subunit ribosomal RNA
Source: RNAcentral
GACGAACGCUGGCGGCAGGCCUAACACAUGCAAGUCGACCGCUGUAGCAAUACAGCGUGGCAGGCGGGUGAGUAACGCGUGGGAACGUGCCUUUCGGGUCGGACUCCCUCAGCGAAACUUGAGCUAAUACCGGAUAGGCCGUUGGGGGGAAAGAUUUAUUGUCGAAAGAUCGGCCCGCGUCCGAUUAGCUAGUUGGGGUGGGAAUGGCGCACCAAGGCGACGAUCGGUAGCUGGUCUGGGAGGAUGAUCAGCCACACUGGGACUGAGACACGGCCCAGACUCCUAAGGGAGGCAGCAGUGGGGAAUAUUGGACAAUGGGCGCAAGCCUGAUCCAGCCAUGCCGCGUGAGUGAUGAAGGCCCUAGGGUUGUAAGCUCUUUCGCCAGGGACGAUAAUGACGGUACCUGGAUAAGAAGCCCCGGCUAACUUCGUGCCAGCCGCCGCCGUAA